GACGAACGCUGGCGGCGUGCUUAACACAUGCAAGUCGAACGGAAAGGCCCUGCUUUUGUGGGGUGCUCGAGUGGCGAACGGGUGAGUAACACGUGAGUAACCUGCCCUUGACUUUGGGAUAACUUCAGGAAACUGGGGCUAAUACCGGAUAGGAGCUCCUGCUGCAUGGUGGGGGUUGGAAAGUUUCGGCGGUUGGGGAUGGACUCCCGGCUUAUCAGCUUGUGGGGCGGGUAGUGGCUUACCAAGGCUUCGACGGGUAGCCGGCCUGGGAGGGUGGCCGCGCUCAUUGGGACUGAGAGACGGCGCAGUGUCCUACGGGAGGCAGUGGUCGAGAAUAUUGCACAAUGGGGGGAAGCCUGAUGCAGCAACCCCGGGUGCGGGAUGCCGUCCUUCGGGUUGUAAACCGCAUUCGCCUGUGACGAAGUGGGAGUGACGGUAAUGGGUAAAGAAGCACCGGCUAACUACGUG
This 468-nucleotide ribosomal RNA is filed under the name uncultured bacterium. Its description in RNAcentral is "partial 16S ribosomal RNA". It matches the Rfam family "Bacterial small subunit ribosomal RNA", at positions 28 to 507 of the family's 1533-position model. The record is from RNAcentral.